Molecule: unclassified non-coding RNA, 223 nt
Filed under: uncultured bacterium
Lineage: Bacteria
Description: contains 16S-23S intergenic spacer region
Source: RNAcentral
UCCGGUUUGUCACCGGCGGUCUCCUUAGAGUUCCCACCAUUACGUGCUGGCAACUAAGGACAAGGGUUGCGCUCGUUGCGGGACUUAACCCAACAUCUCACGACACGAGCUGACGACAGCCAUGCAGCAUCUGUGGUGCACCCUCGAAGGUCACACGUUUCCGUGCGCUUGCAGCACCAUGUCAAGUCCAGGUAAGGUGGGGAUGACGUAAGGAAUGUCGAUA